Molecule: long non-coding RNA, 455 nt
Filed under: Gadus morhua (Atlantic cod)
Lineage: Eukaryota; Metazoa; Chordata; Actinopteri; Gadiformes; Gadidae
Description: lncRNA (ENSGMOG00000031900.1)
Source: RNAcentral
GGCCCGGCGGACAGCCCCAGACUUCGUUAGCCUAUAGCGUGGCUCUGUGAGUCUGCCACCGCAGCUCAAUGACCGCCACGCGACGGUAACGCGAUGAGAGACGCCAGCAGAUACCGCAGGAGGAAGGCCAACACAAAGCACUUUCGAGUUACGGGCGGUGUUUCCUGACACGCGUGUGAAGCUCUCACGUGACCCUCAACCCCCUUUGAGGUCUGGGAUAAGAGACGCAGGGCUAAAGAUGGCGACCCCACCUUGUGCUGUCCUUCCACUCGACGCACAAGGUCAAUUUGUGCAUGUUGGCGGAACCCAAGACCAAGAAAAACAUGAUCUCCCUCAACCAACUACCAGCAGUUCAGCUCAACAAGAUGAACCUUCAAUUACGUGUGACUCAUUAAACAGUUGUUUUUCUUAAAUGAAUUUAUUCAUAAAUAUUUAUUUAAUUGAACAGUAGCAAC